This 1253-nucleotide unclassified non-coding RNA is filed under the name Hevea brasiliensis (rubber tree). Lineage: Eukaryota; Viridiplantae; Streptophyta; Magnoliopsida; Malpighiales; Euphorbiaceae. The record is from RNAcentral.
CAAGUGUUGUUAAAGAAGGAAGGUGACUGGGCAAUACCCUCAUUAGUUUUGGACAUUCUCUCAUGUAAAGCUCUCGGAGGAGAGGGAAAGCCUUGCCUUCAUCUUCGUCUUUGUAAGAAAACCAUUCACACCACUGCUCCAUUCUUUCAAACCUUAAGAUUUCGAGGCACCCAAAUGGCUUCUUCACGGAUGUGCAACUUCCAUAGAACUCAUCACUGACGGUCACAACUUUGUCAAGUGCUAUGAUCCCGAGCUCCUUUAAAGAUGUUAACUGUCCCAGUGGAGGUAAGGAGGAGCAGUUUAUACAUCCAUCAAGCCUCAAGGAUACAAUAUUUGAGAAAAAAGCUUCUCCUACCCAACUUGGAAAUCCUGCACUCUCAUAACCAAUGAUGGAAAGGCAUUCAAUAUUUUUGUGAGGCUUCAAUUGCUCAAGUACAUGAAGAGAAUUGCCCAUGUUACCAGCCCAUCUCAACUUCAACUUCUUGAGAUGCUUCUUAUCCUUCAAAUUGGCUUGUAAAGCAUCUUCAGCCUCCACAACAUUUUGCAAGUUCCAAAUACAGAGUUUUCCUCGAAGAUGUUGAAGCUCUCCCAACUCUUUAAUGCUAGACCCACUCUGUUCUCCCACAAUAAAAUCUGUUAACUUCUGGAGUCUUGUUAGCUUAGACAUGAGUUUUGGCAUCUCUUUCAAUUUUGUUUUCCUGAUAUCAAGAUGGCAUAAGUUGACCAACCUUGACAUGUUGGUUGGCAACCCCUCAAAGUCUUUGCACUUAUACAAGAUUAAAGUCUGCAAACUAUAACAACUAUUCACAGAUUCAGGCAACCUUUUGAUUUUAGUACGCGACAAGUCAAGGUAGCGUAAGUGCUUUAAGGCACCAAUUGAAUCCGGCAACUCCACAAUCUCAUAAUGAGUUAGAGAUAGUACCCGUAAGCAUUUUAAUUUUGGCACCAAAUCAUGCAUCACAUUACUAGAUAAACAGUAUCUAGGAGUGAAGUACUGCUCAUUAGUGUAACUCAAUGAUAAAAAUGUCCGCAAGCUUUUCAUUCCAUAAAAGCUUUCAAAUCUUUGAAAAGUAUUUCGGCCAUGAGGAAUAAAUGACGAAUGUCGAAUCUUUGCAUAUAAUUUUGCACUCUCCAACUUAUCAACCAAAUGCAAACAUGUUCCUCUACUAACAAAGCGAGCUAAAUCAUGAAUUAAGUCAUGCAUUAUAUAUUUCAAUUUAUUAUCAUUAGAUUGUUGAAAAAAUGAUCUUGAU